This 728-nucleotide long non-coding RNA is filed under the name Manihot esculenta (cassava). Its description in RNAcentral is "long non-coding RNA (MESC_LNC006255)". Lineage: Eukaryota; Viridiplantae; Streptophyta; Magnoliopsida; Malpighiales; Euphorbiaceae. The record is from RNAcentral.
AAUUAAUUGUGAAAAUGAAAAGAAAAAAGGCAAAAAAUACAGAAUGUCCAGAGGUGGAGAGUACAAAAUCCAGAAAUAACAGCAAGUCGCUCUUCGUAAGAGCAGAGAUGAGGAUGCAUUCUGGGCUUUUGAGAUUCAAACCUGACAAUCUGUUCAUAAAACAUAGCCGGGAUCAAUUCCAUCCAAAUCUGCAGAAGUUCUGAGCUCACUUUCUACCAUUUUCCUGUUGAUGACAAACUGAAAUCAGCAUUUAGCAUAAGUUUCAAGACAGCCCAUUGGAACCCAUUUAUGCAUUUCAAUAGAAGAGCUAGGAAGCCACAGCUUUUAAUACCUAUCACGAUUACAAGAACAUUGAUGGUUAGAUUAUUUUAUCCGAUAUUCCAGGAAACUGUAAGAGUUGACAAUAGUUUUAUCACAAAUCAUACAGAACGACAAUUCGUAUAAUGGAAAAUUUAAACAAAAAGAAAAAAGUUGAACAACAGAGGAGUUUAGAGAACUAAAAAUGAAAAAUUCCCCAAAAACUUAAAAAUUGUUAUGAUAUUAGAAAACAACAGAAAUGAAUUGAAAGCAAUCCUCACAUUUGUUGGAGUACUGUGAAGUCUUGUUUAAUUGCGUAUAACAACGCGGGGGAUAUGAGAAAUGAUAGGCCAGUAGUCUCCCCCUUUUUCUUUUAAGCAACGAUCCCGAAGCAGAGGGCAGUUGUCAAUACAUAGGCAUUCAAGUGUAGC